This 383-nucleotide ribosomal RNA is filed under the name Colymbetes striatus. RNAcentral describes it as "mitochondrial SSU rRNA". Lineage: Eukaryota; Metazoa; Arthropoda; Insecta; Coleoptera; Dytiscidae. The record is from RNAcentral.
GAUUAGAUACCCUAUUAUUUUAAAUGUAAAUUAUUAUACUAAAGUAGUAAUAGUUAAGUUCUUUAAAUUUAAAGAUUUUGGCGGUAUUUUAGUCUAUUCAGAGGAACCUGUUCUGUGAUUGAUAAUCCACGAUUAACUUUACUUAGUUUAAUAAUUUGUAUAUCGUCGUUUAUAAAUAAUUUUAAAAGAAUUUAAAUUUUUAAGAUUUUUUAUUAAAAAAUAUAUCAGAUCAAGGUGCAGUUUAUAAUUAAGUAGAAAUGGGUUACAAUAAAUUUAUUUAUACGGAUUGAUAUAUUAAAUUAUAUUAUGAAGGAGGAUUUGAUAGUAAUAAAAUUUAAUUAAAUUUUAUGAUUUUAGCUCUAAAAUAUGUACACAUCGCCCGU